UAACCUGCUAAAUAGAGAUGCGAACCUGUGUUCGUAAGCUCUUCUUAGAGGGACUGACUACGUUUAGUGGUCGGAAGUUUGAGGCAAUAACAGGUCUGUGAUGCCCUUAGAUGUUCUGGGCUGCACGCGCGCUACACUGACAGAGGCAACGAGUAUACAACCUUGACCGGAAGGUCUGGGCAAUCUUUUUAAACUCUGUCGUGCUGGGGAUAGAGCAUUGCAAUUAUUGCUCUUCAACGAGGAAUUCCUAGUAAGCGCAUGUCAUCAGCAUGCGUUGAUUACGUCCCUGCCCUUUGUACACACCGCCCGUCGCU
RNAcentral lists this ribosomal RNA (314 nucleotides) under uncultured fungus. RNAcentral describes it as "SSU rRNA". It matches the Rfam family "Eukaryotic small subunit ribosomal RNA", at positions 1344 to 1680 of the family's 1831-position model. The record is from RNAcentral. Lineage: Eukaryota; Fungi.